Molecule: ribosomal RNA, 253 nt
Filed under: uncultured bacterium
Lineage: Bacteria
Description: partial 16S ribosomal RNA
Rfam family: Bacterial small subunit ribosomal RNA
Source: RNAcentral
UACGUAGGGGGCAAGCGUUGUCCGGAAUUAUUGGGCGUAAAGAGCGUGUAGGCGGCCCGGUAAGUCCGCUGUGAAAGUCGGGGGCUCAACCCUCGAAUGCCGGUGGAUACUGUCGGGCUAGAGUGCGGAAGAGGCGAGUGGAAUUCCUGGUGUAGCGGUGAAAUGCGCAGAUAUCAGGAGGAACACCGGUGGCGAAGGCGGGUCUCUGGGCCGAUACUGACGCUGAGGAGCGAAAGCGUGGGGAGCGAACAGG